RNAcentral lists this ribosomal RNA (1859 nucleotides) under Chryseobacterium sp. YR561. RNAcentral's name for it is "bacterial LSU rRNA". It matches the Rfam family "Bacterial large subunit ribosomal RNA", at positions 1 to 2007 of the family's 2925-position model. The record is from RNAcentral. Lineage: Bacteria; Pseudomonadati; Bacteroidota; Flavobacteriia; Flavobacteriales; Weeksellaceae.
AGAAAUCGUUAAGGGCGUAUGGCGGAUGCCUAGGCUUUCAGAGGCGAAGAAGGACGUGGUAAGCUGCGAAAAGCUCGGGGGAUUGGCACACACGAAUUGAUCCCGAGAUGUCCGAAUGGGGCAACCCAAUACAUUGAAGAUGUAUUACCUCGUAAGAGGAGCAAACCCGGAGAACUGAAACAUCUAAGUACCCGGAGGAAAAGAAAUCGAAGAGAUUCCGUAAGUAGUGGCGAGCGAAAGCGGAUUAGCCCAAAAGUCUUUAUAUGUUUAAAAGAAUGUUCUGGAAAGAACAGCCAUAGAGGGUGAUAGCCCCGUAUUUGAAAGGCAUACAUAGAUGAUAAAUGAGUAGGGCGGGACACGUGAAAUCCUGUCUGAAUAUGGGGGGACCAUCCUCCAAGGCUAAAUACUCCUGAAAGACCGAUAGUGAACAAGUACUGUGAAGGAAAGGUGAAAAGCACUUCGAAUAGAAGGGUGAAAUAGAACCUGAAACCGUACGCCUACAAGCGGUCGGAGCCCACAAGUUGGGUGACGGCGUGCCUUUUGCAUAAUGAGCCUACGAGUUAAUUUUACUAGCGAGGUUAAGGUAUUAAGUACCGGAGCCGGAGCGAAAGCGAGUCUGAAUAGGGCGCUUAGUUAGUAGGAUUAGACGCGAAACCUUGUGAUCUACCCAUGGGCAGGUUGAAGCUCUGGUAACACAGAGUGGAGGACCGAACCGGUUGACGUUGAAAAGUCUUCGGAUGACCUGUGGGUAGGGGUGAAAGGCCAAUCAAACUGGGAGAUAGCUCGUACUCUCCGAAAUGCAUUUAGGUGCAGCGUCGUAUAUAAGUUUAUUAGAGGUAGAGCUACUGAUUGGAUGCGGGGGUUUCAUCGCCUACCAAUUCCUGACAAACUCCGAAUGCUAAUAAAUGUUCUACGGCAGUGAGGGCAUGGGUGCUAAGGUCCAUGUCCGAGAGGGAAAGAACCCAGACCAACAGCUAAGGUCCCCAAAUAUAUGUUAAGUUGAAGCAACGCGGUUGGACUGCAUUGACAGCUAGGAUGUUGGCUUGGAAGCAGCCAUUCAUUUAAAGAGUGCGUAACAGCUCACUAGUCGAGCGGUCCGGCAUGGAUAAUAAUCGGGCAUAAACAUAUUACCGAAGCUAUGGAUUUGUACAUUGUACAUCUGGUAGGAGAGCAUUCUGUUUGCGCCGAAGCAGUAUCGUGAGGUAUUGUGGAGCGGACAGAAAAGAAAAUGUAGGCAUAAGUAACGAUAAAGGGGGCGAGAAACCCCCUCACCGAAAGACUAAGGUUUCCUCAGCCAUGCUAAUCAGCUGAGGGUUAGUCGGGACCUAACGCGAACCCGAAAGGGGUAGUGGAUGGACAAUGGGUUAAUAUUCCCAUACUUGCUCACACUAAAAAGGGGACGGUUCGACGUAGCUAUUGAAGACGGACGGAAGUGUCAAGGCCUAGCCUUCGGGCGAAGCUGUUAUAGUGAAAUCGGAUCCAAGAAAAGCCGAAGUGAAGCAACCCGUACCAAAACCGACACAGGUGGUCGAGGAGAGAAUCCUAAGGUGCUCGAGUGAGUCGUGGCUAAGGAACUAGGCAAAAUAGUCUCGUAACUUCGGAAGAAGAGACGCCAACAGCAAUGUUGGCCGCAGUGAAGAGGCCCAGGCGACUGUUUAUCAAAAACACAGGACUCUGCUAAAUCGAAAGAUGCUGUAUAGGGUCUGACACCUGCCCGGUGCUGGAAGGUUAAGGAAGGGCGUUAGCGUAAGCGAAGCGUUUGACUGAAGCCCCAGUAAACGGCGGCCGUAACUAUAACGGUCCUAAGGUAGCGAAAUUCCUUGUCGGGUAAGUUCCGACCUGCACGAAUGGUGUAACGA